UGUGUGUGUGUGUAUAUGUGUAGUAGUGUGUGUAUAGUUUUUUUGAUCGUGAGAAGAGAAAACUCUGUUUUUGUUCUGCCCACACAUUUGCUUUACUCAUCAUUGAAGGCAGCCAUUUCUCUUUGGCCAUUCUUCAUCUUGUGUCUUGUUUAAAAGAUUGGUGCUGUGAUGACUCGAUCGCCUGGACGUAAAUAAGAAAGUGCGUGCAUAAUGGCGAGUGCAAAACAGUUUGGAGAUUCGCUAUCCAUCUGGCCGCUGUUGGUGUUGACGAGUCUUUGUCUCGCAUCGGCCGGUCCGAUCGUGAACACGUUUAACGAAGGCAAUGGCGGCCACCGGCUUCAGCAUCUCGUUGUCGUUAAGCACAGCGCCUUGGUCUACGUCGGCGGAGUGAACCGGCUCUAUCAACUUUCGCCCGAACUUGAUCGCCAGGUGACGGUGGAGACGGGACCGAGGGAAGACAGUCCAGAAUGUCCGGCCGUCGAUUGUCUAGUUGCAGGUGUUCAUCGAGGUCAGCUAAAAGCGAGGAUGACUUUAUCUCCGGAUUGACAAA
Molecule: long non-coding RNA, 550 nt
Filed under: Daphnia magna
Lineage: Eukaryota; Metazoa; Arthropoda; Branchiopoda; Diplostraca; Daphniidae
Description: uncharacterized LOC123472573, transcript variant X1
Source: RNAcentral